GUCCCUGUAGCGCAAUGGAUAGCGCGUUGGACUUCUAAUCCAAAUGUCGUGAGUUCGAACCCCACUUGGGAUG
RNAcentral lists this transfer RNA (73 nucleotides) under Trichonephila inaurata madagascariensis. It matches the Rfam family "tRNA". Rfam says of the family: Transfer RNA (tRNA) molecules are approximately 80 nucleotides in length. Lineage: Eukaryota; Metazoa; Arthropoda; Arachnida; Araneae; Nephilidae. The record is from Rfam by way of RNAcentral.